Molecule: ribosomal RNA, 465 nt
Filed under: uncultured bacterium
Lineage: Bacteria
Description: bacterial SSU rRNA
Rfam family: Bacterial small subunit ribosomal RNA
Source: RNAcentral
GACGAACGCUGGCGGCGUGCUUAACACAUGCAAGUCGAGCGAGAGAGAUGUCUUCGGACAUCAAUCUAGCGGCGGACGGGUGAGUAACACGUGGGCAACCUGCCUUAGUGAGGGGGAUAGCCUUCCGAAAGGAAGAUUAAUACCGCAUAAAGUAGUAUUUACACAUGUAGAUAUUAAGAAAGGAGAAAUCCGCACUAAGAUGGGCCCGCGGCGCAUUAGCUAGUUGGAGAGGUAACGGCUCACCAAGGCAACGAUGCGUAGCCGACCUGAGAGGGUGAACGGCCACAUUGGAACUGAGAGACGGUCCAGACUCCUACGGGAGGCAGCAGUGGGGAAUAUUGCACAAUGGAGGAAACUCUGAUGCAGCAACGCCGCGUGAGUGAAGAAGGUCUUCGGAUUGUAAAGCUCUGUUAAUCGGGACGAAAAAUGACGGUACCGAUAGAGGAAGCCACGGCUAACUACGUG